GGACUGCAACUGACGUUGAGGCUCGAAAGCGUGGGGAGCAAACAGGAUUAAGAUACCCUGGUAGUCCACGCCGUAAACGAUGAUUUACUAGGUGUCGGGGGGUAAGGCCCGCCGGUGCCGCAGCAAACGCAGUAAGUAAUCCACCUGGGGAGUACGUUCGCAAGAAUAAAACUCAAAGGAAUUGACGGGGACCCGCACAAGCGGUGGAGCAUGUGGUUUAAUUCGAAGCAACGCGAAGAACCUUACCCGGCCUUGACAUCCCAAUGGAUGCGGAGCAAUGUCCGCAGCCCUCCGGGGCAUUGGAGACAGGUGGUGCAUGGUUGUCGUCAGCUCGUGUCGUGAGAUGUUGGGUUAAGUCCCGCAACGAGCGCAACCCUUAUCCUUAGUAGCCAGCAGGUAAAGCCGGGCACUCUAGGGAGACUGCCGGGGAUAACCCGGAGGAAGGUGGGGAUGACGUCAAAUCAUCAUGCCCCUUAUGAUUUGGGCUACACACGUGCUACAAUGGCGUAAACAGAGGGAAGCGAACCCGCGAGGGGGAGCAAAUCCCAAAAAUAACGUCCCAGUUCGGAUUGUAGCCUGCAACCCGGCUACAUGAAGCUGGAAUCGCUAGUAAUCGCGGAUCAGAAUGCCGCGGUGAAUACGUUCCCGGGUCUUGUACUCACCGCCCGUCA
This 671-nucleotide ribosomal RNA is filed under the name uncultured bacterium. Its description in RNAcentral is "bacterial SSU rRNA". It matches the Rfam family "Bacterial small subunit ribosomal RNA", at positions 731 to 1399 of the family's 1533-position model. The record is from RNAcentral.